RNAcentral lists this ribosomal RNA (520 nucleotides) under uncultured Glomus. RNAcentral describes it as "SSU rRNA". It matches the Rfam family "Eukaryotic small subunit ribosomal RNA", at positions 569 to 1089 of the family's 1831-position model. The record is from RNAcentral. Lineage: Eukaryota; Fungi; Glomeromycota; Glomeromycetes; Glomerales; Glomeraceae.
AGCAGCCGCGGUAAUUCCAGCUCCAAUAGCGUAUAUUAAAGUUGUUGCAGUUAAAAAGCUCGUAGUUGAAUUUCGAGAUCAAUUUGUCGGUCGUGCCUCGGUACGUACUGGCAUUAUUGAUUUCUCCCUUCUGAAGAACCGCGAUGUCAUUAAUUUGGUGUCGUGGGGAAUCAGGACUGUUACUUUGAAAAAUUAGAGUGUUUAAAGCAGGCGCACGCUUGAAUACAUUAGCAUGGAAUAAUGAAAAUAGGACGUUUGAUUCUAUUUUGUUGGUUUUCUAGGAUCGACGUAAUGAUUAAUAGGGAUAGUUGGGGGCAUUAGUAUUCAAUUGUCAGAGGUGAAAUUCUUGGAUUUAUUGAAGACUAACUACUGCGAAAGCAUUUGCCAAGGAUGUUUUCAUUAAUCAAGAACGAAAGUUAGGGGAUCGAAGACGAUCAGAUACCGUCGUAGUCUUAACCAUAAACUAUGCCGACUAGGGAUCGGAUGAUGUUAAUUUUUAAUGUACUUCAUUCGGCGCCUU